UACGUAGGGUGCGAGCGUUGUCCGGAAUUAUUGGGCGUAAAGAGCUCGUAGGCGGUGUGUCACGUCGUUCGUGAAAACCUGCAGCUUAACUGUGGGCGUGCGGUCGAUACGGGCAUCACUGGAGUUCGGCAGGGGAGACUGGAAUUCCCGGUGUAGUGGUGGAAUGCGUAGAUAUCGGGAGGAACACCAGUGGCGAAGGCGGUUGCCUGGAGCUUUGCUGACGCUGAGGCGCGAAAGCGUGGGGAGCGAUCCGG
Molecule: ribosomal RNA, 254 nt
Filed under: uncultured bacterium
Lineage: Bacteria
Description: partial 16S ribosomal RNA
Rfam family: Bacterial small subunit ribosomal RNA
Source: RNAcentral